ACAUUCAGAAUAGUUUUCAUGCCAAGAGUAUACCCUGUGAGUAAUGGAAAUGUGUGUUGCUGUGUAUACACUUUAUCUUUGUGCACAGCUUCCGGAAGUGUGACCAGACCGGGCGGUGGGAUGGAAGACCCAUUACAGAGCUUCACAUGCUGUUCCAGGCCUGUUCUAACAGGAUACCAUUGCUUUAAUGAGAGAGAGAGAGAGAACAUGAAAUCUGUGUGGUGAGGAUCUGGGAGAAAAUAGAAGAAGGUAAAAACUAUGAUCACAAUAAAUUGUUUGAAAAAAAUUUUAAUUAAAAAUUUUAAUUAAAAGAUUUGUUGUUGUUUUUUUUAUGUGCACAUGUGUUUUUGUGUGAAAGUGG
RNAcentral lists this long non-coding RNA (361 nucleotides) under Rattus norvegicus (Norway rat). RNAcentral describes it as "long non-coding RNA NONRATT032427". Lineage: Eukaryota; Metazoa; Chordata; Mammalia; Rodentia; Muridae. The record is from RNAcentral.